CGAUACGAGUUUGAUCAUGGCCUCAGGAUGAACGCUAGCGGCAGGCCUAAUACAUGCAAGUCGAAGGGGAUAGCAAUAUCACCGGCGGACGGGUGCGUAACGCGUACACAACGUGCCCAAGGGCGGAGGAAAGCGGCGGGAAACUGCCGGUAAUACUCCAUGGUGUUGUUGAGUGGCAUCACUUAACAACUAAAGUACAAGCGCCCUUGGAUCGGUGUGCGUUCGAUUAGCUAGUUGGCGGGGUAACGGCCCACCAAGGCUUCGAUCGAUAGGGGGUGUGAGAGCAUGACCCCCCACACGGGUACUGAGACACGGACCCGACUCCUACGGGAGGCAGCAGUAAGGAAUAUUGGACAAUGGGCGGAAGCCUGAUCCAGCCAUGCCGCGUGAAGGACGAAGGCGCUCAGCGUUGUAAACUUCUUUUGGAUGGGAACAAUAACUCCGACUUGUCGGAACUUGAGGGUACCAUCAGAAUAAGCACCGGCUAACUCCGUG
RNAcentral lists this ribosomal RNA (495 nucleotides) under uncultured bacterium. RNAcentral's name for it is "bacterial SSU rRNA". It matches the Rfam family "Bacterial small subunit ribosomal RNA", at positions 1 to 507 of the family's 1533-position model. The record is from RNAcentral.